UUUUAAGAUUUAAUUUAAGUUAAUUGAUUAAUUAAUUCAUUAAUUUAUAUGGAGUUUUUUAAAUUAUUUGUUUAUCCAGUAAUUUGUAUUAAUUUUAAUUUAAAUUUAUUUUUGAUUUAGUUAUUGAAUUUAUAAUAGACAUAAAUUGUGCCAGCAUUCGCGGUUAUACAAUUUAUUAAAGUUAAUUUUUUAUUAGUUUAAUAUAACUAUUUAAAUUUUUAAAUUUAAUAUUGUAAUAUUUAGGUGGAAUUUGUAUUUUAUAGUAAUUUUUGUUAUUUAUUUUUAAGAAAUUUAUCUAAUAAACUAGGAUUAGAUACCCUAUUAUAAUUUAUGUAAAUUUUUUACUUUGAAUAGUAUUAGUUAUGUUCUUUAAAGCUCAAAGGAUUUGGCGGUAGAAUAUCUUUUUAGAGGAACCUGUUGAUUAAUUGAUAAACCACAAUAGUUCAUACUUUAUUAAUUAUUUGUAUACCGCUAUAUUAUGGAAUGUCUUGUUAAGGAAUUUUCUUUAUCUUAGAGGAAUUAUAUUAGGUCAAGGUGCAGUUUUUAUUAAGUUUUUAUGGGUUACUUCAAUAUUUAAUUUGUAAGGAUUUUUUUAUUAUAUAAAUUUUGAAUUAGGAUUUAAAAGUAAAAUUGUAUUAAUUUGUUAAUUUGAAUUUUGCCCUAUUUUAUGUACAUAUCGCCCGUCACUCCUAUUUAAUGUAGGAUAAGUCGUAACAAAGUAACCCUACCGGAAGGUAGGGUUAGAAUUAUUAAAUUUU
Molecule: non-coding RNA, 758 nt
Filed under: Paralaevicephalus gracilipenis
Lineage: Eukaryota; Metazoa; Arthropoda; Insecta; Hemiptera; Cicadellidae
Source: RNAcentral